Molecule: ribosomal RNA, 322 nt
Filed under: uncultured eukaryote
Lineage: Eukaryota
Description: partial 18S ribosomal RNA
Rfam family: Eukaryotic small subunit ribosomal RNA
Source: RNAcentral
CCCUUAGAUGUUCUGGGCCGCACGCGUGCUACACUGAGUGGAUCAGCGGGUCAGGUUGCGCGAAAGUGUUUCCUAAUCUUUAAAUCCGCUCGUGAUGGGGAUUGACGGUUGCAAUUUUCCGUCAUGAACGAGGAAUACCUUGUAAGCGCGGGUCAUCAUCCCGCGCUGAAUACGUCCCUGCCCUUUGUACACACCGCCCGUCGCUCCUACCGAUUGAGUGGUCCGGUGAGGCUUUGGGAUCUGAGCGGAAAGAGCGUUUCGCUGUUUCUGCCCGGAAAACUCAGUCGAACCUUAUCAUUUAAAGGAAGGAGAAGUCGUAACA